GCAGAAAACUAUUAUUAUAGAUGAUAUAUAUAUAAGUAUAUAUCAAAAUGUUUAGUAAAUUAUUUAUAUUCUAACUUAAAAGGAUCAUGUAAGCUGUUAUGAAUGUUUUUUGUACUUCAGUUGACUUCUGUACUGAGAUUUGGGAAAGGCCGCUGACGUAGAAGAGGCCCUUCCUCGAAGUGGUGAAGAGCUGGCAAAUGAACACGAUAAAGGAGAUGGAGGAGAGGAUCACGGACAGGACCAUAAGAGCCUGCACUGACUGCAACCAAUCUGCAACACACGUGAGACCCCCCCGUCAAAGACCCACAAACAAACAGGUGGCGAUGAACAACAUGACCAGACUGACCAAAUGCAGCAGCAUCACGAACAUCAACAAGAAGGCCAUCGUAAUCUUUACUGUGAUCUUCUGUAGGGGGAAAAAAAAAUACAUAAAGGCACUGAGCUUGUUUGUUUCCAUCUAACUUCUGUUGCAGCUCCUCGCCCCAAGGGACGAGCAGCGAGUCUACCCUCACGUUCCUUUACAUAUCUAUCAUCUUUCCACCAAACGAAUAGUAUACUUUGGCCUGUGCAAGUUCAACUGUCUGAAGAAGCAUGCGUUUUAAAAGCGUUGUAUAAACACCA
Tachysurus fulvidraco (yellow catfish) is the source of this 621-nucleotide long non-coding RNA. RefSeq lists it as uncharacterized. Lineage: Eukaryota; Metazoa; Chordata; Actinopteri; Siluriformes; Bagridae. The record is from RefSeq and is a predicted model, not a curated record. The transcript has 3 exons.